Molecule: ribosomal RNA, 538 nt
Filed under: marine bacterium SIMO-1584
Lineage: Bacteria; Pseudomonadati; Pseudomonadota; Gammaproteobacteria
Description: bacterial SSU rRNA
Rfam family: Bacterial small subunit ribosomal RNA
Source: RNAcentral
CUACACAUGCAAGUCGAGCGGCGAACAGUAAAGGAGCUUGUCUACUCUGCUGUACGAGACGGCGGGACGGGAUGAAGUUAAUGCUUGGGUAACAUGCCUUGCAGGUGGGGGACAACAGUUGGAAACGACUGCUAAUACCGCAUAAUGUCUACGGACCAAAGGGGGCUUCGGCUCUCGCCUUUAGAUUGGCCCAAGUGGGAUUAGCUAGUUGGUGAGGUAAUGGCUCACCAAGGCGACGAUCCCUAGCUGGUUUGAGAGGAUGAUCAGCCACACUGGGACUGAGACACGGCCCAGACUCCUACGGGAGGCAGCAGUGGGGAAUAUUGCACAAUGGGCGCAAGCCUGAUGCAGCCAUGCCGCGUGUGUGAAGAAGGCCUUCGGGUUGUAAAGCACUUUCAGUCAGGAGGAAAGGUUAUAGUUAAUACCUGCUAGCUGUGACGUUACUGACAGAAGAAGCACCGGCUAACUCCGUGCCAGCAGCCGCGGUAAUACGGAGGGUGCGAGCGUUAAUCGGAAUUACUGGGCGUAAAGCGUACGC